RNAcentral lists this ribosomal RNA (832 nucleotides) under uncultured archaeon. RNAcentral describes it as "bacterial SSU rRNA". It matches the Rfam family "Archaeal small subunit ribosomal RNA", at positions 85 to 921 of the family's 1478-position model. The record is from RNAcentral.
ACGGCUCAGUAACACGUGGACAACUUACCCCUGGGACCGGGAUAACCCCUGGGAAACUGGGGCUAAUACCGGAUAGAGCAUCGGUUGCUGGAAUGCACGAUGGUCUAAAGCUGAGGCGCCCAAGGAUAGGUCUGCGGCCGAUUAGGUUGUUGUUGAUGUGACGGAUCAACAAGCCUACGAUCGGUACGGGUUGCGAGAGCAAUAGCCCGGAGAUGGGUUCUGAGAGAAGAACCCAGGUCCUACGGGACGCAUCAGGCGCGAAAACUUUACAAUGUGCGAAAGCACGAUAAGGGAACUCUGAGUGCCUCCUAAGGAGGCUGUUCGGGUGUCUAAAAAGCAUCCGAAGGAAGGGCUGGGUAAGACCGGUGCCAGCCGCCGCGGUAACACCGGCAGCCCAAGUGGUAGCCACGCUUAUUGGGUCUAAAGCGUCCGUAGCCGGCCAAGUAAGUUCUUUGGGAAAUUUGACCGCUUAACGGUCAAGCUAUCAGGGAAUACUGCUUGGCUUGGGACCGGGAGAGGUCAGAGGUACUCCAAGGGUAGGGGUGAAAUCCGUUAAUCCUUGGGGGACCACCGGUAGCGAAGGCGUCUGACCAGACCGGGUCCGACGGUGAGGGACGAAGGCUAGGGUCGCGAGCCGGAUUAGAUACCCGGGUAGUCCUAGCUGUAAACGAUGCGGGCCAGGUGUUGGCAUUACUGCGAGUGAUGCCAGUGCUGAAGGGAAGCCGUUAAGCCCGCCAUCUGGGGAGUACGGUCGCAAGGCUGAAACUUAAAGGAAUUGGCGGGGGAGCACCACAACGGGUGGAGCUUGCGGUUCAAUUGGAGUCAACGCCGG